UACGUAGGUGGCAAGCGUUGUCCGGAUUUACUGGGCGUAAAGAGCGCGCAGGCGGUCGUGCAAGUCGCGUGUGAAAGCCCCCGGCUCAACUGGGGAGGGUCACGCGAUACUGCUCGACUCGAAGGCAGGAGAGGGAAGUGGAAUACCCGGUGGAGCGGUGAAAUGCGUAGAGAUCGGGUGGAACACCAGCGGCGAAGGCGGCAUCCUGGCCCUGUACUGACGCUGAGGCGCGAUAGCGUGGGGAGCAAACGGG
This 253-nucleotide ribosomal RNA is filed under the name uncultured bacterium. RNAcentral's name for it is "partial 16S ribosomal RNA". It matches the Rfam family "Bacterial small subunit ribosomal RNA", at positions 524 to 776 of the family's 1533-position model. The record is from RNAcentral.